RNAcentral lists this ribosomal RNA (803 nucleotides) under Staphylococcus epidermidis. Its description in RNAcentral is "bacterial SSU rRNA". It matches the Rfam family "Bacterial small subunit ribosomal RNA", at positions 47 to 835 of the family's 1533-position model. Lineage: Bacteria; Bacillati; Bacillota; Bacilli; Caryophanales; Staphylococcaceae. The record is from RNAcentral.
CCUAUCAUGCAGUCGAGCGAACAGACGAGGAGCUUGCUCCUCUGACGUUAGCGGCGGACGGGUGAGUAACACGUGGAUAACCUACCUAUAAGACUGGGAUAACUUCGGGAAACCGGAGCUAAUACCGGAUAAUAUAUUGAACCGCAUGGUUCAAUAGUGAAAGACGGUUUUGCUGUCACUUAUAGAUGGAUCCGCGCCGCAUUAGCUAGUUGGUAAGGUAACGGCUUACCAAGGCAACGAUGCGUAGCCGACCUGAGAGGGUGAUCGGCCACACUGGAACUGAGACACGGUCCAGACUCCUACGGGAGGCAGCAGUAGGGAAUCUUCCGCAAUGGGCGAAAGCCUGACGGAGCAACGCCGCGUGAGUGAUGAAGGUCUUCGGAUCGUAAAACUCUGUUAUUAGGGAAGAACAAAUGUGUAAGUAACUAUGCACGUCUUGACGGUACCUAAUCAGAAAGCCACGGCUAACUACGUGCCAGCAGCCGCGGUAAUACGUAGGUGGCAAGCGUUAUCCGGAAUUAUUGGGCGUAAAGCGCGCGUAGGCGGUUUUUUAAGUCUGAUGUGAAAGCCCACGGCUCAACCGUGGAGGGUCAUUGGAAACUGGAAAACUUGAGUGCAGAAGAGGAAAGUGGAAUUCCAUGUGUAGCGGUGAAAUGCGCAGAGAUAUGGAGGAACACCAGUGGCGAAGGCGACUUUCUGGUCUGUAACUGACGCUGAUGUGCGAAAGCGUGGGGAUCAAACAGGAUUAGAUACCCUGGUAGUCCACGCCGUAAACGAUGAGUGCUAAGUGUUAGGGGGUUUCC